GCAACUGUUGGCUUACCGGAUUCAGGAUCAUUUCUUGAACGCAGGGCUCUUGGUGUAGACUCAGUAAUUAUUGAAGACAGCAAAGAGGCCAAAAAUAUCACCAACUUAUCAUGGGGUUAUCAGGUUGGAUUAUUGGGGGAGAAGUUACAAAUUUACUCAUUAGAAGAAUCAAAGAGUGCUUAUUGGAGCAGCUUAGGCUCUUCUCAACCGCUCACAUGGUACAAG
RNAcentral lists this unclassified non-coding RNA (225 nucleotides) under Hevea brasiliensis (rubber tree). The record is from RNAcentral. Lineage: Eukaryota; Viridiplantae; Streptophyta; Magnoliopsida; Malpighiales; Euphorbiaceae.